This 253-nucleotide ribosomal RNA is filed under the name uncultured bacterium. Its description in RNAcentral is "partial 16S ribosomal RNA". It matches the Rfam family "Bacterial small subunit ribosomal RNA", at positions 524 to 776 of the family's 1533-position model. The record is from RNAcentral.
UACGAAGGGGGCUAGCGUUGCUCGGAAUCACUGGGCGUAAAGGGUGCGUAGGCGGGUCUUUAAGUCAGGGGUGAAAUCCUGGAGCUCAACUCCAGAACUGCCUUUGAUACUGAGGAUCUUGAGUCCGGGAGAGGUGAGUGGAACUGCGAGUGUAGAGGUGAAAUUCGUAGAUAUUCGCAAGAACACCAGUGGCGAAGGCGGCUCACUGGCCCGGUUCUGACGCUGAGGCACGAAAGCGUGGGGAGCAAACAGG